AGCUCGUCGUCCUUCUCCUGCUGCCUCUGCCGGAGCUGGCGGCGUCUCAGCCUGGCCUCGCGAUGAGGCGACGGCAGCCCCAACCUCAGCAGUUGGAUGCAGUUUUGAAUGGCUGCCAGGUGACAAAGACUGGGGUCAUCAUGAACCACCCGGUACUGACCUGCUUCAGCACGUCCAGUAUGAGCUCCUGAAAGACCUCAUUGAUGCCCAUAGAGAGACUUUGUUGGUCCACGCCUUUGCUGAAGGCACCUGUUCCCACCAGUUGGAUCAUCUCCCAAACAGUCAGGCAGCCUCUCCUGCUCAGCUGGAGCUCGGAAUCCCAAAGAUUGCCCUCGGUCCACCCGCUCGCCACGGCCUCAAUCAGCUUUUGCAGAAAGUAUUCCAACUAAACACACACAAACAACUCUCAGAGCUAAAAUACUAAUACAAUAAGACAAAGGAAACAAGUAGAAGCAAGAGCUUCUCACCUCCUCAGUCACAAUGACAAGCGGGUACUUGUCUUCAGACAGGAAGUUGAAAAUGCACCAGAUUUUAAAAGCAUCGUAGUUUGAGAUGAGUAGAUUAUUGGUGCUGAUGUUUUUCUUAUGAGACAGUGUCCAGCACAUCUUGUUGAACUCCAGCACAUCGAAAUCCUCUUGGACCUGCACUUGAAAAAGCAGCAUUCAACUACUAACACUCGGCGUGACAUUCAACAAAUAAACAUUUUGAGAUAUUAAUAAUACAGAACCAA
Molecule: long non-coding RNA, 730 nt
Organism: Syngnathus acus (greater pipefish)
Lineage: Eukaryota; Metazoa; Chordata; Actinopteri; Syngnathiformes; Syngnathidae
Exons: 2
Source: RefSeq, a predicted model, not a curated record